AGUGAACGCUGGCGGCGUGCCUAAUACAUGCAAGUCGAACGGACAAGUAAGAGCUUGCUCUUAUGAGUUAGUGGCGCACGGGUGAGUAAUGUAUAGCUAAUCUGCCCUACACUAGAGGACAACAGUUGGAAACGACUGCUAAUACUCUAUACUCCUGUCUUACAUAAGUUAGAUAGGGAAAGUUUUUCGGUGUAGGAUGAGGCUAUAUUGUAUCAGCUAGUUGGUGAGGUAAUGGCUCACCAAGGCUAUGACGCAUAACUGGUCUGAGAGGAUGAUCAGUCACACUGGAACUGAGACACGGUCCAGACUCCUACGGGAGGCAGCAGUAGGGAAUAUUGCUCAAUGGGGGAAACCCUGAAGCAGCAACGCCGCGUGGAGGAUGACACUUUUCGGAGCGUAAACUCCUUUUGUUAGGGAAG
RNAcentral lists this ribosomal RNA (419 nucleotides) under Campylobacter concisus. RNAcentral's name for it is "bacterial SSU rRNA". It matches the Rfam family "Bacterial small subunit ribosomal RNA", at positions 29 to 447 of the family's 1533-position model. Lineage: Bacteria; Pseudomonadati; Campylobacterota; Epsilonproteobacteria; Campylobacterales; Campylobacteraceae. The record is from RNAcentral.